CCUACGGGAGGCAGCAGUGGGGAAUCUUCCGCAAUGGACGAAAGUCUGACGGAGCAACGCCGCGUGAACGAUGACGGCCUUCGGGUUGUAAAGUUCUGUUAUACGGGACGAAUGGUACGACGGUCAAUACCCGUCGUAAGUGACGGUACCGUAAGAGAAAGCCACGGCUAACUACGUGCCAGCAGCCGCGGUAAUACGUAGGUGGCAAGCGUUGUCCGGAAUUAUUGGGCGUAAAGGGCGCGCAGGCGGCGUCGUAAGUCGGUCUUAAAAGUGCGGGGCUUAACCCCGUGAGGGGACCGAAACUGCGAUGCUAGAGUAUCGGAGAGGAAAGCGGAAUUCCUAGUGUAGCGGUGAAAUGCGUAGAUAUUAGGAGGAACACCAGUGGCGAAAGCGGCUUUCUGGACGACAACUGACGCUGAGGCGCGAAAGCCAGGGGAGCAAACGGGAUUAGAUACCCGAGUAGUC
Molecule: ribosomal RNA, 465 nt
Filed under: Salmonella enterica subsp. enterica serovar Montevideo
Lineage: Bacteria; Pseudomonadati; Pseudomonadota; Gammaproteobacteria; Enterobacterales; Enterobacteriaceae
Description: bacterial SSU rRNA
Rfam family: Bacterial small subunit ribosomal RNA
Source: RNAcentral